AGCCCUUUCAGUAUUGCUUUUAGAAUGGGUUUACUAUUGCUGUGCUCCUUUAGCUUUCGUUUGUUGGAGAAAUUCUUGAUUUCCCAUUCUAUUUUAAAUGGUAUUCUUACUGGAUAGAGUAUUCUAGGUUGCAUUUUUUUUUUUUUUUCAGCACUUGAAAUAUAUCUUGCCACUCCCUUCUGGCCUGUAGUGUUUCUGUAGAGAAAUUAGCUGAUAGCCUUAUGGGGGUUCCCUUAUAAUUAAUGCUUUGCUUUUCUCUUGCUGCCUUUAGGAUCCUCUCUUUAACUGUUGCCAUUUUUAUUAUAGUAUGUCUUGGUGUGGUCUAUUUGGGUUCAACUUAUUUGGGGCCCUCUGUGCUUCCUGUAUUUUGAUAUCAGUAUCCUUUAAAUUAGGCAAGUUUUCAGCCAUAAUUUCUUCAAAUAUAUUUUCAAUCCCCCCCCCCAUUUUUUUCUUUUUCCUUCUGGAGUUCCUAUUAUGCAUAGAUUGGCCCACUUUAUAUCAUCCUAUAGGUCUCUUAUAUUGCUUUCAUGUUAUUUCAUUUGGUUUUCUGUCUACUGUCCUGUUUGGGUGAUUUCCAUUAUUUUAUCUUCCACGUCACUAAUUCGUUCCUCUGCAUCAUUCAUUCUGGUCUUUAUUGCCUUUAGCUCAGUUUGUAUCUAUGCAAAUGAACUUUCUAGUCUUUCUUGGCUCCUCCUUAUAUUUUCUAGCUCCUUUCUGAGGGAAUCUGCAUUACUGUUCAUAUCCUCUCUUAAUACCUCAGUAUUUUCACUAUCUCCCUUUUGAAAUCAAAGUCUGUCAGACUACAGAGGUCUGUUUCAUUGCUGACUGUUUUAGGUGAAUUCUCCUGUUCCUUUAACUGGGAAUGGUUUCUGAGCUUCUUCAUUCUUAUGUUUUUCUUUUUCUGAGAAUUUGGGGAAACCAAACUGUAGUCUGGCACAGUCCAUGGUUGGGCUGGCAGGGCAGCUCCAUGCAGGCAGGGCAUGGUUGCUAGGAGCAUCGUGGCCAGAAGGAUGGCUCCACAUGGCCAGGGCAUGGGUGCAGGGAGUGUAGCAGGCCAGUGGGGCAGCUUCCCACUGGCAGGGGGGCCGGUCUGCAGCAGAUGGCAAGUGGCUUCCAGUCAUGGGUGGCGGGGGUACACUGGGAAUGCUCCACUUUCUGCAAUCCAGAGGGCAAACACACACACUAGGGGACAAGGAAUUUUCUAUGGGGGCUUGCCCCUCCUCCUCUACCCUUCCCAACAAUGGCUCCUUGUCGCCCCUGCAUGUCUGGACUUUCUCCUGUGUUCCCUCUGCUGUGGCUUUCCACUCCCCAGCCCUUAGUGUAGUGCUCCCCCCACCUGCAGCACACUGCUGCCUAGUCCCUUAGGCUGUUUCCACACAGCCAACCCCAGCCUACUCCCAUGGACUGACCUCUGGAGCCUAAGUCUCAGCCCCCAGCCCCCACAUGAGCAUCUCAGGCUGUGGGGUCUGUGUCAGUGGUUCAGAUGAUCUGUGCAUCUCUCACUCUGCUUUUUGGUUCUCAGACCUGCUGCUGCAUUUUUCUCAGUGUCUUGGAGAUCCCUCCAAUUCAGCUGAUCUUUCUGUUGGUUAGGUGGCUUCCCAGGGUGUGGGUUCCCUUUCUCCUUCACUGCUCCCUCACAGGAUGCUAGUCCCAUCCUGAUUCCUGUUCUCUCUCCCUCUUUUUUUCUUUUGUUCUACCCAGUUAUGUCGAGAGUUUCUUGCCCUUUUUGGAGGUUUAAGUUCUCCUGCAAGCAUUCAGUUGAUGUUCUGCAUGAGUUGUUUCACAUGUAGAGGUGUUUUUUUGAUGCAUUUGUGGGAGAGGGUGAGCACGUCCUCUUACUCUUCUGCCAUUUUGCCUCCACCUUACUAAGGAAAUUAAUCAACUAAAAUCCUACGGAGAAUGAAGUGGGGAGGAAAUAGAAAUGAACAAAUUUCAUCUUUUCUCACUGUUGGGAAUCAACAGAUUUGGUCUAAAGUUUCAAGGAAUAAAUGUAUUACAAAAAGUUACAGUCAUCUUAAUCAUAAUCACAACAGAAAUAUAAACCUUUCAUUUUAAAGAAACACACAAAAACACACCACAUCACACACACACAAGAUAGUAAGAAAAAAAUGCCAAAUAAUAAAAUAUUUAAAGUAGCAAUAACAACAUAAAAAAGCACAAUAUCAAAUAUAGAACAAAAUUAAGACCAAAAUCUGUUUUGUAAAUAAAUCAAAAUGGAUUGAACUAAUGUACAAUGAGAAAGGAAUCUGGUAAAAUUACAAAUAAAACCCAGAAAUAUGCUACCUACUAGAGACAUUUAUAAAAAAAAAAAUCUCAAAAAGUUUGUAAAUAAAAUAAGAAAAAAGUAUACCAAGAAAAUGUAAACAAUAAUAGCAAUAAAUUAGAAGUUGGGAAUCUUAAUUCAGAUGAUCUUGACUUUUAUCUUUGAUUUAAGCUUUAAAAUAUUCUGUGUGGUUUCUUAAAGUAUCACAUCAUGAAAAAGUUUGUAAUACAUAGUGAAAAUAAAUAAUUAUAAAAAUGCAUUUGGUCAGAAGAAUUUUAAGAUGUCCUCCAAUAUUCCUAUUUCUUAGUAUCUGUGGCUUGUAUAAAUCCCUCCUCUCAAGGCUGAGAAAUCAAGGGAGGAUACAGGCUGAAUCUCUAAAUGUGAUGAGAUAUGAUUGUGUUACACCACAUGGCAAAAGGGAUUUUACAGAUGUAAUUAGGAUACUAGAAGACUGGCUCCGAGUUUAUCAAAAGGAAGAUUAUGAAUGCUCCUGGUGUAAUCACAAGAUCCCUUUAAGCCUGGGUCCUGAUGUUGGAGAAAGAAGUCAGAUAUUCGUAGUGUGAGAAGGCCUGUGGUGGGGCCACAGUGCAAAGAACUGCAUAAAACUUCUAGAAGCUGAAAGUUGCCCUCAAACAGAGCCAGCAAGAGGACAGACUUCAGUUCUUCAGCCUCAGGGACCGAAUUCUGCCAACAACUUAAAUGACCCUGGAAGAAGAUCCUGAGCCUUCAAUAAGAGCACAGUUCACACAGGACACUUUGUUUCCAACCAUGUGAGACCCUAAGCACAGCCUGACCUUCCUGACCCACAGAAACAUCAAAAAAACAAAUGGGUGUUUUUCUUAUACAGCAAUCAAAAAUUAAUAUA
RNAcentral lists this long non-coding RNA (3128 nucleotides) under Sus scrofa (pig). RNAcentral's name for it is "lncRNA (ENSSSCG00000047593.1, ENSSSCG00035073262.1, ENSSSCG00065002290.1)". Lineage: Eukaryota; Metazoa; Chordata; Mammalia; Artiodactyla; Suidae. The record is from RNAcentral.